RNAcentral lists this ribosomal RNA (253 nucleotides) under uncultured bacterium. Its description in RNAcentral is "partial 16S ribosomal RNA". It matches the Rfam family "Bacterial small subunit ribosomal RNA", at positions 524 to 776 of the family's 1533-position model. The record is from RNAcentral.
GACGUAGGGCGCGAGCGUUGUCCGGAUUUAUUGGGCGUAAAGAGCGUGUAGGCGGCCAGAUAAGUCCGCUGUGAAAUCUCGAGGCUCAACUUCGAGCUGUCGGUGGAAACUGUCUGGCUAGAGUCCGGAAGAGGAGAAUGGAAUUCCUGGCGUAGCGGUGAAAUGCGCAGAUAUCAGGAAGAACACCCGUGGCGAAGGCGGUUCUCUGGGACGGUACUGACGCUGAGACGCGAAAGCUGGGGGAGCAAACCGG